UAUACACCUUCCAUAUAACCUCCAUACAGCUCACAUAUAGUUAGUUAGAAAACUGACCUUUUACUCUUCUUGUGAGAUAACAAGUACAGUGACAGCUCCAGUCAUUCAGUGUGAGUGCACACCCAGCACACAGGUCACUGAUCCCCUAUAUCGAUCUCUCUCUCCAUUAUUGAUCUCCUGGCCAGGUAUUGCUACCCAGAUAGAGUACUGGUCCCCGGGCAGGUUAUUGAUCUCCCCUGAAAGAUGAUUGCUCUUUUGGCAGGGUAUUGAUCGUCUAAUAGGUUAUGGAUCUCCUGCUGGGUAUCGAUCUACUGAUAGAUUACUGAUCUACUGACUGGGUAUUGAUCUCCUGAUAGAUUAUUGAUUUCCUGUCAGGAUGCUGAUCUCCUGAUAGACCAUUAAUCUCCUGGCUGGGUAUUGAUCACCUGAUAGAUGAUUGAUCUCCUGGUGGCAGGGUAUUGAUCUCCUGGUUGGUAAUGGAUCUCCUGAUAGAUUAUUGAUCUCCUGCUGGAAGGGUAUUGAUCUCCUGAUAGAUUAUUGAUUUCCUGUCAGGGUGCUGAUCUCCUGAUAGACUAUUAAUCUCCUGGUGGCAGGGUAUUGAUCUCCUGAUAGAUUAUUGAUCUCCUGCUGGAAGGGUAUUGAUCUCCUGAUAGAUUAUUGAUCUCUUGGUGGCUGGGUAUUGAUCUCCUGAUAGAUUAUUAAUCUCCUGGUGGCAGGGUAUUGAUCUCCUGAUAGAUUAUUGAUCUCUUGGUGGCUGGGCAUUGAUCUCCUGAUAGAUUAUUGAUCUCCUGGUGGCUGGGUAUUGAUCUCCUGAUAGAUUAUUGAUCUCUUGGUGGCUGGGUAUUGAUCUCCUGAUAGAUUAUUGAUCUCUUGGUGGCUGGGUAUUGAUCUCCUGAUAGAUUAUUGAUCUCUUGGUGGCUGGGUAUUGAUCUCUCCUGUCAGCCCCUGUCAGGAUGAUGGGAGGAAGGUGGGCCGGGGCUCUGCUCCCCCUGUGACCCGGACCUGGGACCUUUCAGCAGCAAACACUUGUUGCUCCGUCUCGGCAUUUUUAUUUCCUACUCCUGAAGGUCGU
Non-coding RNA from Pelobates cultripes (western spadefoot toad), 1072 nucleotides. NCBI's taxonomy places the organism in Eukaryota, Metazoa, Chordata, Amphibia, Anura, Pelobatidae. The record is from the annotation of a GenBank genome assembly.